Molecule: ribosomal RNA, 383 nt
Filed under: uncultured bacterium
Lineage: Bacteria
Description: bacterial SSU rRNA
Rfam family: Bacterial small subunit ribosomal RNA
Source: RNAcentral
GACGAACGCUGGCGGCGUGCUUAACACAUGCAAGUCGAACGGUAAGGCCCUUCGGGUACACGAGUGGCGAACGGGUGAGUAACACGUGGGUGAUCUGCCCUGCACUUCGGGAUAAGCCUGGGAAACUGGGUCUAAUACCGGAUAGGACCAUGGACUUCACGGUUUGUGGUGGAAAGCUUUUGCGGUGUGGGAUGGGCCCGCGGCCUAUCAGCUUGUUGGUGGGGUAAUGGCCUACCAAGGCGACGACGGGUAGCCGGCCUGAGAGGGUGUCCGGCCACACUGGGACUGAGAUACGGCCCAGACUCCUACGGGAGGCAGCAGUGGGGAAUAUUGCACAAUGGGCGCAAGCCUGAUGCAGCGACGCCGCGUGAGGGAUGACGGCC